RNAcentral lists this non-coding RNA (122 nucleotides) under bovine gut metagenome. RNAcentral's name for it is "FMN riboswitch (RFN element)". It matches the Rfam family "FMN riboswitch aptamer (RFN element)". From Rfam's summary of the family: The RFN element is a highly conserved domain that is found frequently in the 5'-untranslated regions of prokaryotic mRNAs that encode for flavin mononucleotide (FMN) biosynthesis and transport proteins. This element is a metabolite-dependent riboswitch that directly binds FMN in the absence of proteins. The record is from RNAcentral.
CGUCUUCAGGGCAGGGUGAAAUUCCCGACCGGCGGUAGAGUCCGCGAGCCUGACGCAGCGAUGCGGAGGGCUGACCCGGUGUGAUUCCGGGACCGACAGUACAGUCUGGAUGGAAGAAGAUG